Molecule: microRNA, 17 nt
Filed under: Corchorus olitorius
Lineage: Eukaryota; Viridiplantae; Streptophyta; Magnoliopsida; Malvales; Malvaceae
Description: ptc-miR482a
Source: RNAcentral
CCAACUCCUCCCAUUCC